This 440-nucleotide ribosomal RNA is filed under the name uncultured bacterium. RNAcentral describes it as "partial 16S ribosomal RNA". It matches the Rfam family "Bacterial small subunit ribosomal RNA", at positions 338 to 795 of the family's 1533-position model. The record is from RNAcentral.
CCUACGGGCGGCAGCAGUGGGGGAUAUUGCACAAUGGGCGAAAGCCUGAUGCAGCAACGCCGCGUGAGCGAUGAAGGCCUUCGGCGCGUAAAGCCCUGUCGUCAAGGAAGAAAAUGACGGUACUUGAGGAGGAAGCCCCGGCUAACUACGUGCCAGCAGCCGCGGGAAUACGUAGGGGGCUAGCGUUAUCCGGAAUUACUGGGUGUAAAGGGGGCGGAGGUGGGUUUGUAAAGCAGGAGUGAAAGUCCAGGGGCUAACCCUUGGAAUGCCUUUGAAACUGGGAGACUGGAGUACGGGAGAGGCAGGCGGAAUUCCUAGUGUAGCGGUGAAAUGCGUAGAUAUUAGGAGGAACACCGGUGGCGAAGGCGGCCUUCUGGACUGUGACUGACGCUGAGGCACGAAGGCGUGGGGAGCAAACAGGAUUAGAUACCCGUGUAGUC